UGACCACUUAGAUUGCUUUGUAACCUUGUUAUAAUAAUAUCUGCAAAUGUCACCCAUGAUUAAAUAAGGAUCUCAAAGAGGAGAAGAGGGCCAAAAUCAUAACAGAUUCCAAUUAAAUCUGUAUAAAUAUGAUACUAAUAAUGAAAAAAGAAAAAUCAUCAUGCACUUUUUUCCCUCUGGAGUGGUGAACUCCUUCCAGACUGUUGAUGCAUCAGCCCUCUCAAUCGCUGUCAUCAAUUCAAAAGGCUUCUCCCAACUAGAUUGUUUU
Molecule: unclassified non-coding RNA, 268 nt
Filed under: Hevea brasiliensis (rubber tree)
Lineage: Eukaryota; Viridiplantae; Streptophyta; Magnoliopsida; Malpighiales; Euphorbiaceae
Source: RNAcentral